Molecule: ribosomal RNA, 479 nt
Filed under: uncultured bacterium
Lineage: Bacteria
Description: bacterial SSU rRNA
Rfam family: Bacterial small subunit ribosomal RNA
Source: RNAcentral
GGAACUCUGAGACAGGUGCUGCAUGGCUGUCGUCAGCUCGUGUUGUGAAAUGUUGGGUUAAGUCCCGCAACGAGCGCAACCCUUAUCCUUUGUUGCCAGCGGUUAGGCCGGGAACUCAAAGGAGACUGCCAGUGAUAAACUGGAGGAAGGUGGGGAUGACGUCAAGUCAUCAUGGCCCUUACGAGUAGGGCUACACACGUACUACAAUGGCAUAUACAAAGAGAAGCGACCUCGCGAGAGCAAGCGGACCUCAUAAAGUAUGUCGUAGUCCGGAUUGGAGUCUGCAACUCGACUCCAUGAAGUCGGAAUCGCUAGUAAUCGUGGAUCAGAAUGCCACGGUGAAUACGUUCCCGGGCCUUGUACACACCGCCCGUCACACCAUGGGAGUGGGUUGCAAAAGAAGUAGGUAGCUUAACCUUCGGGAGGGCGCUUACCACUUUGUGAUUCAUGACUGGGGUGAAGUCGUAACAAGGUAACCG